GACGAGGCACUACGGUGCUGAAGCAACAAAUGCCCUGCUUCCAGGAAAAGCCUCUAAGCAUCAGGUAACAUCAAAUCGUACCCCAAACCGACACAGGUGGUCAGGUAGAGAAUACCAAGGCGCUUGAGAGAACUCGGGUGAAGGAACUAGGCAAAAUGGUGCCGUAACUUCGGGAGAAGGCACGCUGACACGUAGGUGAAGUGAUUUACUCAUGGAGCUGAAGUCAGUCGAAGAUACCAGCUGGCUGCAACUGUUUAUUAAAAACACAGCACUGUGCAAACACGAAAGUGGACGUAUACGGUGUGACGCCUGCCCGGUGCCGGAAGGUUAAUUGAUGGGGUCAGCGCAAGCGAAGCUCCUGAUCGAAGCCCCGGUAAACGGCGGCCGUAACUAUAACGGUCCUAAGGUAGCGAAAUUCCUUGUCGGGUAAGUUCCGACCUGCACGAAUGGCGUAAUGAUGGCCAGGCUGUCUCCACCCGAGACUCAGUGAAAUUGAACUCGCUGUGAAGAUGCAGUGUACCCGCGGCAAGACGGAAAGACCCCGUGAACCUUUACUAUAGCUUGACACUGAACAUUGAGCCUUGAUGUGUAGGAUAGGUGGGAGGCUUUGAAGUGUGGACGCCAGUCUGCAUGGAGCCGACCUUGAAAUACCACCCUUUAAUGUUUGAUGUUCUAACGUGGACCCGUGAUCCGGGUUGCGGACAGUGUCUGGUGGGUAGUUUGACUGGGGCGGUCUCCUCCUAAAGAGUAACGGAGGAGCACGAAGGUUGGCUAAUCCUGGUCGGACAUCAGGAGGUUAGUGCAAUGGCAUAAGCCAGCUUGACUGCGAGCGUGACGGCGCGAGCAGGUGCGAAAGCAGGUCAUAGUGAUCCGGUGGUUCUGAAUGGAAGGGCCAUCGCUCAACGGAUAAAAGGUACUCCGGGGAUAACAGGCUGAUACCGCCCAAGAGUUCAUAUCGACGGCGGUGUUUGGCACCUCGAUGUCGGCUCAUCACAUCCUGGGGCUGAAGUAGGUCCCAAGGGUAUGGCUGUUCGCCAUUUAAAGUGGUACGCGAGCUGGGUUUAGAACGUCGUGAGACAGUUCGGUCCCUAUCUGCCGUGGGCGCUGGAGAACUGAGGGGGGCUGCUCCUAGUACGAGAGGACCGGAGUGGACGCAUCACUGGUGUUCGGGUUGUCAUGCCAAUGGCACUGCCCGGUAGCUAAAUGCGGAAGAGAUAAGUGCUGAAAGCAUCUAAGCACGAAACUUGCCCCGAGAUGAGUUCUCCCUGAGACUUAGAGUCUCCUGAAGGAACGUUGAAGACGACGACGUUGAUAGGCCGGGUGUGUAAGCGCAGCGAUGCGUUGAGCUAACCGGUACUAAUGAACCGUGAGGCUUAACCUU
This 1381-nucleotide ribosomal RNA is filed under the name Salmonella enterica. RNAcentral's name for it is "partial 23S ribosomal RNA". It matches the Rfam family "Bacterial large subunit ribosomal RNA", at positions 1568 to 2925 of the family's 2925-position model. RNAcentral also lists the same sequence under 7 other names. The record is from RNAcentral. Lineage: Bacteria; Pseudomonadati; Pseudomonadota; Gammaproteobacteria; Enterobacterales; Enterobacteriaceae.